This is a long non-coding RNA of Ostrinia furnacalis (Asian corn borer), 207 nucleotides long. RefSeq lists it as uncharacterized. The transcript is spliced from 3 exons. The record is from RefSeq and is a predicted model, not a curated record. Lineage: Eukaryota; Metazoa; Arthropoda; Insecta; Lepidoptera; Crambidae.
CACUGGCUACAGGUCUAUCAACGCCGUUCGGUUCGGGCCCGGUGACCGCAGAGGGCUGGACUCGCGACGAGCCCGUGGCGCCUCUGGACCUCGCACCCGCCAUCUUGACGGAUGAACACAUUUGCGGCACCAGGUACGUGGUGGGCGCGGACGGGUCGGGCGCGCUGGCGCAGGGCGCGGCGGCGCUGGCGGCGGCGGGCGCGCCGG